UAUAUAUAUUCACGCAGACAUAUAUAUAUAUAUACAUAUAUCUAGAAAGAUAAAUAAAAUAUAGGGUGUUUCUAAGAGAUACAUAUGUAAUCAUAUUUUUAGAAUAAACCAAUAUUUUACGUGUAUAUGAUUUAAUACUGUAAAAUAAAAAAUAAAGUUCCCCGUCUCUGCAUGGGUUCUCUCUGGAUAUCCCUCUUCCCGCAGUCGGGGUUUAGGUUACUUGAUGAUGAUGAAGAUUGCCCAUAGGUGUAUAAAUGUGAGAAUAAUUCUCUGUCAGCUCUGAUUGACUGACGACCGUCUCUUGCCCGAUGCUGGUUGAUUGACUUUUAGAAUAUUGAUGAUGCAUCCUUAUUCAAACUUACACAUUCUUUUAUUUUAUACCCUGUUAUUACAUUAACUUUGCAUAUUGGCCAGGAUGGAAUCUAUGUUCAUAAUAUUAUAGACACACUUCAAGUAAUUAUUUUUAAUUUACUUCUUAAUUUGAAUUAAUUGUCUAAUGAAUCUUUCCCUCAGAAUAUGCUUGUCAAUAUAUACAAAUGAAGAUAAAAUGAGACCAAAUUUGGGGGGGGGAAAUGGGACAAUUAACAUGUUGUCGGUUUUAACCACCAGGUGGCGGAUUAGGAGCAUUUUCAGACCCAAUCAAGAUCAAUUUAUUAAACAUUCUUCAUUUAUACAGUAAAUAAAAGGGCCAUGAAAUAGACUAAAGGUAACUCAACAAGUGAAAGUAAUGAAUUUGAAACCUUGUAUAGAAAAACAAUGUCUGAAAGACUCAACGUGUAAUUAAUGACAUAUCAUAACCGUCGAUAGUUUAAGACAGAAACAAUUAAAAAAAACUGUAUAUAUCAAUAUUUUGUCCAAUUACUAAAUUCUCUUCAAAUCUUCAAAAUUGAACUGUACUUAAUAUGUCCAAGUAUAUUUGGUCAUGCUGAUGAUGAAAUAAGAAAACAUAUGUUAUUCAUCUACACAAUAAAGUAAUAUACCAUCUCCUACUCUGUUCUGGAGCUUUCAAGUCAAUCACAUGGUUUUUAUCCAAAGAUGGAUAAAAAAUCAAUGCUUAAAAUGAACUAUGAUAUAAAGUAUAAAUACACGAUAAAAUAGCACAAUAUAUAUGAAGGAAAGUAUACAUGAGGAGGCAAAACAAUAAUAAAAGAUGAUGUGAACUAUUCACUGUGAUGAAUCACUUUGUUAGCUCUAUGCGUGGACAGUAGUACUGGUAGUACAUAUAUACAUGUAGUGGUAGUAGUCCUGGUAGUACAGCAGAGUACAGCAGGUGGAGCCACAGACCGCAUGUUAAACACCGAGAUCUUCGUCUGAUUCCGUUUCAGUUUGUAGAAAUAAAGAUAAAUUGAAACUGUACUAAAAAUAUGUUUCUAUACUUAGAAUGUGUAGUUUUACUUAUUUUAUGUUCAUAUGUUUGUUAAGGAUUAUUGUUUUAUUUAAUACUUUAUGUAAAUUUGAUGUUAAUGCCUCGCCAGACGCGUCGAUCUUUUUCACAUGAACAUUGGCAGAAAUGUACUUUUUUUAAACUGCAUAUAUGACAUUUGAGUUCAAGAUUUGUUCAGUUUAUUUUACUUAACCGUCACGAAAAAAUCAGGAGGAAUACUCUCAGUUCAUUGUGUUUAAGUAAAUCUGUCAAUUGAGUUCCCACUACGCACCGUUGAUAAAUUGCUAUAUUAAUACUUUUUAAAAUAUAGUAGAACAAUAAUAGAUGCAAUGUAAUUCAAACUGUGGCACAAUGAAAAAAUAAUUAAAUCACAUUAUUGCAUAAUCAGUAGAGAAGACAGAAAUGUUAAAAUAUCAAACUAAAGUCAAGAUGUUUAUAACAAAUCAACUUUUAUAAAAAGAUUAUAAGCAUAAUUCAAGGCUAGACGUUUUUAAUUAACAUUACCUUCCUGAUUUACAACACUACACAUUUCUUUGCUUUCCUCCUCCAUGCUGUUCUCAUAAAUACUGUGUGAACGUUAAAUUAAGAAUAUUAUUUUCAUUCUUCUUAACAUUUAAGAACAUUCUCCGAUGCUCGUUUUAUUUUCUUCUUCUUUAAAGAAGUAUACCUCAAAUAAAUUCACAAAAACACAGAGUUAUGAAUUUAAUCUUCAUAGCCAGUAGUUUUGGUCAAAGUGUGAUAUGAAUUGUGUUUAUUUUAAGUUCUCUUUUAGAUGUUUGUGAUGUAACUUCAUCAAACAAGCUAUUGUUGUGUAAAGUACAUAAAUACUUGGUAGAAUGAAGACAAACAUUUCCUCCCACCUGACCACAGGAAAUACAUUUCAAAUGUUUAAAGAUGUUGGGUUUACAGUAAAAUUCAUUCAUUUAUUUUUAUGUAAAUGACACAUGUUGCACCUGUGAGGUAAAUGGAACAUUACAGCCAGCAUGUUAAAAUCAAUUCAUAAACAGUAGUGAAUCUAUUGUGUUAAUUACAUGAGCUGUUUUCCAAAACUAUACAGUAUAAUUGGGCAUUCAAAAUCAAUAUAGAAUUCCCCAAAAUACAGCAAAAAUCAGUGAAAACAUGAAUCAUUCCGUCUACUUUCCUCUGAAUCUGAUUCUUGGUAUUAUUUGUACAAGUAUUGCUGACUUGUCGACAUGAAGCUAAUCAGUAAUUAGCUGCUUAAUCGUUAGCAUGUGGAGGAGCUGAUGCCACAGGAUCACCUGUAUUUAAACACCUGUGUGUGAGUGAGUCUGAUUCUGGAUCAUUUCAGGUCUCGGUGCCUUUUAGGGUUUCACAGGAUUAAGGAAAUGUAUCGACGAUGUCUAAUUCAUAGUUACUGAUUCUCAAGUAUGAUUAAUAUUUGAAGAGACAGAUAAAUGUGUGGCUGCACACCAGCUAACAACCUAAACUCUGUUAGCUUUUCAGUAUUACCUUCCACAUGUUUUUUUCUUUAUUUAUAAAAUCCAUAAAAACCUGAAUAACUUUCUCAGACUAAGUGUAGCUUAUAUAUUUUUGUAAAAUUCCAUAUUUAAAAGGUGGCCCGAACAUUUUUGGCAUCUUUUUUUAACUAAAAUGACGAAUAUGAUUAAUGGAUAAGCAAAAUGAUAAUUAUUUAAUUAAAUGUCAAUUGACUAAUCCGUUCAUUUAUUUAAUACUAUUAAUGACAUCUACAUAUACAAUACAUUAUAGUCAGCUAUAUCAUUUAUGACCAUAAAAGCAACCAAAUCAAAAUCUUAGGAUUGUGUGUUUAAUCAAAAUGUCUUUGUUUGACGUGUCUCACAUGUUGUACAUUUACUUGUAUUGUGUUUCUACACAUUGAAGCCACUUUUCAGUGCAAAGCGUUCGGCUUUCCUCUGCUGCCUCGUGUCACUCAAAUCAAUUCUGGCAUUGUGAUCGUUUUACUGCACAGAAUACAUGUUUGAAUCCUCUCUCCUGUUAGCCCUCAUUCACAUUAAGGUACACGGCUUAUUUUCUGCCUUUUUGCCGGGAUUCCUCAGUGCUCGCAAUGGUGCGAUCUCGGUGGUGACCACCAGGGGGCGACUCCUCUGGUCCUAUAGAAGUCUAUGAGAAAAUGACUACUUCUCUCUUGAUUUACUCCCUCUGUAAAUAUUGUAAACAUGAGUUUAUGGUCUCAAUCUGUAGUUUGUAGUCUUCUUUAAUACAGCGUGAUGUUCAUUUAGUAAAUGAUGGUCCAUUUAGAGGCAGACAGCCCAGAAAGCGGAGGACGCUUCAGGGCGGGGCUACACCAUGACAGUACUUUCACUCUGAAAACCGAAGGCCAAACUUGAGCUUUUUCGAACUGAGCUGAUAUCUUCUGUCGCCAAAUGGAGCCCAGAUUCCUACUUCAUCAAUAAGAACGGAAAUAAAAACUUAAUUCUCCAAUCGGCCCCCGAGAGUUCAACCACACCGAAGAGACGAGAGGACGGAGGCACCGACGCAUCCACGCACACACCCGUCCAUCGAGUGAUUCAAAGUUGUUCCCGUCUCUAACCGGCUGACGGGGGUCCAACGCGUCGCCCUGGGGGGAUAAUUAAGAACCUGCAUCGUCGUGUCUCAAGUGUUUAAUAACACCGACCCACGUGUCCUCCUCUUCAACGGAGGCAUUCUUUCCGCUGUUUUUUUUUUUUAAAGAUCUGACUUGGAUUGGACAAACGGAUUUUGUCCCAAACCUCUCAAAUGGGGUUAGGGGUGGGGGGGUGGGAGGGGACUGUCUUUGUGUCUUUAACACUCAGAACCUCUUGAAUAAUGACAGCAAUGAUAAGCAUUCAGAGAUGACAAAUGGAAGCGUCUGCAUUAUACAUGGCUGCUUUGUUGGGACGAUGUUCAUCCGAGCACUUAAGUCUCUCCGAACCUGAUGAGCUCCUCCUUCAGGUUUCUGCCCCAUUUCCCCCCCACCUCCCCGCCCUCCUCUCCUCCUCUUCUUCUGGAUAUACAUCUGCAGGAAGCAUUAAUGUUUAAACCCGCGUGUUUUGUCUGAGCGGCAGUUUGUUUUGUCAUUAAAAUAUGGAAGAGCGGCUCUCAUUGUUUCGUGUCCGCUUUUUCUGAAAGACAAAUCUGCUAAGUGAAAUCACGGUGAAAUAUUAAUCGGAUGAGUUGAUUUACAUUUAUGUAACACUUUGCAUACGAUAAAUCGAGCUAAAGUGAGCGAGAGCGGUUCUGUCAUGAGGAAGAGAGCCGAGGAAACAAAUCGCACCACAAGCCCUCCAACACAAAGCUGCAGGAACGAGUUCGAAAACAAGAGGACGAGUCAGCAGUUUGUUUACUUCCUGUUUCCGCGUCUUGAAGGCAUUUUUAAAAAUAAGGUUUUGAUGAGAUUUUAACCUUUUUUUUCUAAUAAAUAAAACACGGUUUGUUACUUUCAAUAAUUAUUGUCGCUGUUCAAGAGCAAACAAAGCUUUAAAAUAUGUUAUUUUCUUGAUUUAUUAUAAAAUGAGUAAGUAUUUAAAUCUGUGUUUAAGUUAGUUAAGUUAGUCCACUCCAAAAAACAGCAAAACCAUCUAGUUCCUUAACGCACCACCUUCAUUUUAGUUCCUGAACACACCACCUACAUUUUAGUUCCUUAACAAAUCACCUUAAUUCUAGUUCCUGAACACCACUCUGCCGUGACCUCCUGGGGGCCGCGGGCCUCGUGUUGGGCCCCUGUGCUGGUUUAUCUGUAGCCUGACGGCUCCCAGCGGGAGAAUUCAACAUAAUAGUUUCUUCUGAAUGUAGUUUUGUGAUUUAAAUUGCUAAUUAUAAUGGUGAUGGAACAAAUAAAUAAAACAUGACCUUAGCGUGUUUUUAUCUCUCACUGUAAAAACUCUGGCGGUCAGUAAAUCAGCCGCGGUGGCGUUCCGGCGAUGACUCGUCUGUUGUUGGGUAAAUGCUCCGUAAAUGUCACUCUGGAAAACAACAUUGCAGUGGGUUUAAUGUAUUUAAUGACAUGAACAGUUAUUUACAUUUGUUCCUCUUCUUUUGUGUCCCAUAAUUCCACUUUUCAGGAUCAAUGUUUAUUUUGUAAUUUCCUUUUAUUUGACUUAAAAAUCUCCCUUCAUGAGUUUUAAUGUAAACCAACAAAAGUUUGAAUGUUUCACAUUCCGCAUUUGUCACAAUAACUCAAACUAACAGGUUGAAUGUUUUCGCUUCUUUUUGUCUUCUGUAAGUCAAAAACCAAUAAUCUGUUGACACAUGUGGUAUUUCACUGUCCGACACUAAAAUAGAAAACGCAUCGACAGGAUGUGAAGAGGCUGCGGCCCUCUGGGGGCUGUAGGAACUCAGCACAUACAAUGGAUGCAUGUAAGGACUCCAACAUAAUUUAUUUUCAUCAUGCAACAAAAUGCACUCGCAGCCCGUUUGCUGCACACGAGGAACAUGACGCACAAAAGCUAAAAGCAGUCAUGUGUUCCUGCAGUGCAACGUUAAACAUCUGCAUCAGGAGGAAGAUAAACAGCGGCCCUGAAAGCAGAUGACACGGCCGACUCAAUAAGACCAUGAAUCUUUCACCGACUUCUGUCCCUGAACCUUUUAGAAUUUUUAGAGGCAGCAAACGAUUUGGGAGUUUUAAGAUAAUCUUUGUAAAACAUCCGAUGUUCCCUUCGAUUGUCCCGUAAAACACGUUAAGAGACGUGACGCUCAGUGUGGACUCCUUCCUAAUAUCAUGAUUUGAUAAUGGUUCAAAGGUCGAAGUAGUAGUAGUUCAUAGUACAGAGGUCAUGGUAGUAAUACCUUAUAGUAUGGAGGUAACAGUAUUAAUACCUCAUAGCACGGAGGUAACAGUAUUAAUACCUCAUAGCACGGAGGUAACAGUAGUAAGACCUCAUAGUACGGAGGUAACAGUAGUAAUACCUUAUAGCACGGAGGUAACAGUAGUAAUACCUCAUAGUACGGAGGUAACAGUAGUAAUACCUCAUAGUACGGAGAUAACAGUAGUAAUACCUCAUAGAACGGAGGUAACAGUAGUAAUACCUCAUAGAACGGAGGUAACUGUAGUAAUACCUCAUAGUACGGAGGUAACAGUAGUAAUACCUCAUAGUACGGAGGUAACUGUAGUAAUACCUCAUAGAACGGAGGUAACUGUAGUAAUACCUCAUAGAACGGAGGUAACUGUAGUAAUACCUCAUAGUACGGAGGUAACAGUAGUAAUACCUCAUAGUACGGAGGUAACAGUAG
This is a long non-coding RNA of Gasterosteus aculeatus aculeatus (three-spined stickleback), 6571 nucleotides long. NCBI's taxonomy places the organism in Eukaryota, Metazoa, Chordata, Actinopteri, Perciformes, Gasterosteidae. The record is from Ensembl.